This is a non-coding RNA of Ictidomys tridecemlineatus (thirteen-lined ground squirrel), 73 nucleotides long. NCBI's taxonomy places the organism in Eukaryota, Metazoa, Chordata, Mammalia, Rodentia, Sciuridae. The record is from Rfam.
GGGGAUGUACCUCAUUUGGUAGAGUGCUUGUCUUGCAUGCACAAGUCCCUGGGUUCAAUCCCCAGAACCACCA